GGGGCAGUAGUCUAGUGGUCAUCUCGCUCUCUCUUGUAUUGUUAUUCGUAUACCUAAAACCUAUAACCUCUUCAAAGAGAGAGAGGUCGGUGGUUCGAAUCCAUCCUGCUCCA
This 113-nucleotide transfer RNA is filed under the name Colletotrichum orbiculare MAFF 240422. RNAcentral describes it as "tRNA-Undet for anticodon ???". It matches the Rfam family "tRNA". Rfam says of the family: Transfer RNA (tRNA) molecules are approximately 80 nucleotides in length. Their secondary structure includes four short double-helical elements and three loops (D, anti-codon, and T loops). Lineage: Eukaryota; Fungi; Ascomycota; Sordariomycetes; Glomerellales; Glomerellaceae. The record is from Rfam by way of RNAcentral.